Anser brachyrhynchus (Pink-footed goose) is the source of this 1588-nucleotide long non-coding RNA. The record is from Ensembl. NCBI's taxonomy places the organism in Eukaryota, Metazoa, Chordata, Aves, Anseriformes, Anatidae.
AUGACGGGUUUCAAGAGCUCUAUGCACUGUCCCCGUGCCAGCCACACUUCUCAGUGUAACCCAAGCCUGAAGGCACCCUGCGUGCUCAACCAGCCUCUCUCUCCCUUGUUGCACACUGCCUUGGAGGCAGCCCAAGGAAGCUCUGGCCAGAUUGGACAACAGCAAUCCCUGCUCAAAAGCAGCUGCUUCCUCCUCCUGCGUUUCCUUCCUUCUCCUGAAGCCCUCCCCUCAAAGGAGAGUGUAGGAGAUAAAGCCUGGAUCUCCCCCAGCGACUCCCUGCAUCCUAUUAACCCUGUCUGCCACAGCUGGAAGAGCCAUUCACCUGUACUCGCAGCUAGAGCAAAACUCUUGCUGGAGCUGGCAGUCUCCAGCACUGAGCAUGAACGAUGGAUGCAUGUGCUCGUCUCCCACCUCCUGCUGCCCCCGCAGCUCAUCUCAGUACCACGCCUGCCAAGCACAUCUGAACGGGAUAUCCGGGACCUGCUGGCGCCCUGCAUCAGCUGGAGAUGUGCUGCAGCUCAAGGUGCAUCAUCCAGGCUGCCUUCUCCCCACAGGUGGCUUCUCCAACUCGAGUCUCCCAUCCUCUGACCCCACCUGCGUGUGAGUCCACUGAGAAAAGAAGCUGCCAGUUUCCACCCCAAAUUUUGGCAUGGGAUUACAAGCGUUAACCUUACUGCAGGCAAUGAGACUUCACAGCCUUGUGAACAUCUAGACCCUAUACCUUGGCUUGGUGGGAGAUACCAGGGGAUGCUGCAGUCUGUUUGAACCAGUUCUUAAAAAUAAUCUUCAUCCAAGUCUGCUCUCUUCUGCUUCUGUAACUCUUCCUUAGAGCCCCUCUUACUUCAUCAAUGCCUCCUCUUUUCCCCAUCCACUCUGAUCUAGAUCCAGGAACUUCUACUCUUAUAUUGAACCAUCCUACACAUGCCCCUAGCCCUCUCCUGGGGACAGCGGGCAGCUAUUAACGGUAGCUCACUACUGGGGGCAUCUCAUAUCUCACAAGGAGUGCUUUGAAAGGUGAACAGUGGUUAGGUCAAGAAGAUUUUCUCCAGAGGUGCCCAUGAGCUUUCUCACCAGAGAAACAAGCACUGUGUCAAGAUGUGGGAAGUUGGUGUUUAAGAGCUCAGAGAAACUCAUGGGUCUGUGAUGGAUAUUUCCAGCUGCAACCAUCCUGACACCAGGGGGGCUGAAACGAAGAGGUCUGACUAUCCUGAACCGGGUCCUAAGCCUGGUCAAACAGAUUCUUGCCACAUUCUGCAGGCAUUUGGUCCACCACGAGCACGGUCAUCACUCUGGCCUCCAGGCGAACAAAGGGCAAGGGCGUGAGUGUUGUUCGAUACCUAUGCAGCAAAGCACCGUGCUUUUUGCAGCAGGAGGUGGCCAGGGACAGCAUCCCUGUGCGUGGCAGCGGGCUGGGUGCUGGCACACGUCCCUCUGUCCCCUCUGCCAGCUUAGCUUAAAGACCACUGCAGGGAACAGUGACAGGGCAGAGAUGAAACGGCAGUGCUGUAUGUGAGUCAAGGCACAUAGAUCUCCUUCCCACACAUCCCUGUUUGUGGUGUACAGAGGGACAUGCCACAGCUGGCUGCAU